AUGUGUAGAAGUAAACAAGUGGGAGGGAUGGGCUUUAGGGAUUAUGAAGCUUUCAAUAAAGCCCUACUUGCAAAACAAGCAUGGAGGAUUCUCACUGUUCCAAACUCGUUGUGUGCUCAAGUUUUAAAGGCCAAAUAUUUUCCUCGUUGUGCUUUUAUGGAAGCGUCAUAUCCUAACAGUGCUUCCGCGACAAGGGUAUCAUUCAUGGAUGUCAUCUUCUAUGGAAAGGCCUAG
RNAcentral lists this ribosomal RNA (234 nucleotides) under Triticum aestivum (bread wheat). RNAcentral's name for it is "partial small subunit ribosomal RNA". Lineage: Eukaryota; Viridiplantae; Streptophyta; Magnoliopsida; Poales; Poaceae. The record is from RNAcentral.